Molecule: ribosomal RNA, 459 nt
Filed under: uncultured bacterium
Lineage: Bacteria
Description: bacterial SSU rRNA
Rfam family: Bacterial small subunit ribosomal RNA
Source: RNAcentral
AUUGAACGCUGGCGGCAGGCCUAACACAUGCAAGUCGAGCGGUAACAGGACUAGCUUGCUAGUUGCUGACAAGCGGCGGACGGGUGCGUAACACGUAGGAAUCUACCCAGUAGCGGGGGAUAGCCCGGAGAAAUCCGGAUUAAUACCGCAUACGCCCUACGGGGGAAAGCAGGGGAUCUUCGGACCUUGCACUAUUGGAUGAGCCUGCGUCGGAUUAGCUUGUUGGUGAGGUAAAGGCUCACCAAGGCGACGAUCCGUAGCUGGUCUGAGGGGAUGAUCAGCCACACUGGGACUGAGACACGGCCCAGACUCCUACGGGAGGCAGCAGUGGGGAAUAUUGCACAAUGGGCGAAAGCCUGAUGCAGCCAUGCCGCGCGUGUGAAGAAGCUCUAGGGUUGUAAAGCACUUUCAGCGAGGAAGAAAGGUUGAUGAUUAAUACUCAUUAGCUGUGACGUUACU